This 204-nucleotide non-coding RNA is filed under the name Hymenobacter crusticola. Lineage: Bacteria; Pseudomonadati; Bacteroidota; Cytophagia; Cytophagales; Hymenobacteraceae. The record is from RNAcentral. RNAcentral also lists the same sequence under 1 other name.
ACCUUUGUCGGGAGUAAAGGUGGCUGCUCCGAGUACAUCGGCGCCAGCCUGAAAAGGGAAUCCGGUGCGAAUCCGGAACAGUCUCCGCUGCUGUAACCCCAGAUCCACUCGGCCGACACGACUAGGCCACUGCUUCCGCACGGAAGCGGGAAGGCCGUCGGCAGAGGGGGAAGUCAGAAGACCUGCCUUUGCCACAGCCCGUUA